This is a long non-coding RNA of Glossina fuscipes, 2331 nucleotides long. RefSeq lists it as uncharacterized. The transcript has 3 exons. The record is from RefSeq and is a predicted model, not a curated record. NCBI's taxonomy places the organism in Eukaryota, Metazoa, Arthropoda, Insecta, Diptera, Glossinidae.
CAAAUAUAUGACGACCAGAAAUUGUGUGAGCAAGAGGAAGAUUCAAAUUUUCCAUAUAUUUGACGACCCGAAAUUGUGUGAUCAAGGGGAAGAAUUAAAUUUUCCAAAUAUUUGAUGAGAGGUACAGUACAGUAUCGGGGCCGCGUUACUGAUGAUUAUGACAAACGCUUACUAAACACUUUUGGUCGUGCUUGGUUUCACGAUCAUCUUUUCGACGAAGCCUUCAAACUCUAUAAAGGCUGCAAGACAUUUAAAGAACAAGAAGCUUACUUGGCAGCUAUCGAGGAAUUGCGUAGCAUAGAUCCGCCGCGAGUACAUGGUUUUCAUACAAAUGCUGACUUAUCAGAUUAACACGACUAGAAGCAUGUAGUCGCUAUACAGCCAAAAGGUGGGGUUGAUGAGAGACAAUUUCAAUUAUAUUCUGCAUUGUAGGACUAAGAUAUGAAUUUUUAUUGAUUUUGAUGCAUUUGAGAAGCGCCUAACGUUUGAACGUUUGAUGAAAAGAACGAUAAGACGUAGUAUGUGCACAUCUUCCUUCUAAUGACUACAUGGUAACUGCACCUACUAUUAAUUGCUUUCUCGGUGAUUAUACAUGAAAUUAUAUACAGCUUUGCGGAUUCAAACAACAUUAAAUUUAAUCCAAUAUCAAAGUCAGGAGGCAAAGUAAACGAAAUCAAAAAUGCGUAUCUUAAUUAAUAGAUUGUUUUAAUUAUUUAAUUGUUUCAAUCAAAUAAGAUUUAAAUUGAAUACGAACGUUCUUUUGCCAAAUUUGGCUUGAACAUUGGCCAAACUUAACCAGAAUAGAUUUACACCUAAUGAACUGAAAUGAGAAAUGAGAUCAACGUCAAUCUAUACUACGGGUCAAAGAAGUUUCUAAUCUGUACCGUUAUAUAGAGAUAUAUUUCGAUAAGUUGAUAAGAUUUGUCUAAAAGUAUUGAUAACGAACAUAAAAAAAUAUACAUAAAAGUUGUAAAAUGUUUUAGUGCCUUUUGCUUGAUUUUUAGAAGCUUCUUCGAAGUAUUUACAGAAAUUGAAAUUGAAGGACGAUUAUAGUGAAAUCCAGCAGAUGGUUAAUAUUGAUAUCAUCGAUGAUAUUGCCUACUUAACAAGUAAACCAGUAUGUAAGACGAAGGUGAGGGAAUUCUUAAUUCUGUUGGCUCAACGAUGAAAAAGUUUAUGCAGCUAUUAACUCCCGCAACAGUGGCAAACUUAGACGUCGCUGUGCAGAGAAAAAUUAUUCAUAAAGAAGAAGACUUACGGACAUACGAAGUUAUCGCUUCUCUGACUGCAUUAUGCGAAGUCAUGCACACGGGCGAGAUAAGCAGCGCCCAAUGGGAAGGACAGAAGGCGGUGCUGGCGAAAGUGAAAACUUGUCUAACAAAUAAAUUCCCGACGGCUGAAAUAACUAGGCCCACCUUGAAUACCAUCAACAACUUCGAGAAGAUCAUGGAUGACCUGCUGGAGGCUUACCCUGGCAUAACUAUACACGCCUGCAGGGUAAGCCAAGACCUCUUGGAGAAAUUUUUCUGCAAGAUGGCGCCACGCAGGAGAAAGAGAACAAGACCGGUGGAUGGUGUGAUGAAGCUAGGCAUCCGCUUAAUCAAACAACAAUUCGAGUUUUGGAGAGGCUGAAUUAUAAGACACCAGCCCAGGCCGAAGAUGAGUUCCUGCCUUACGACCUGAAUGGGGUGCCGUUCAAAGUAGCUGCCAAACGUCUAACCAUUAACGAGGCGGAACACUUCAGGCUGCUCAUAGGCUAUGGAACAGCCCAAUACAUCCGUAAGCAGCUAAGAUGCGAAGCGUGCCUAAGCGACCUAACGCUAACGAAGGAAGAAGCGUGCCACGAUGAAAUCCUGGCUAAUAAGCAUCUGGAACCAGAAUUUCCGAGGCUUAAUGUGCUCAAUGUUUUCUUGGAAGCCAUGGGCAUCUACUUGGAAAUUAUGAGAUUUCAUAUGGUUGAGCCCAACAUCGGCAAGCGUACCCAGGCGGCAAUUCUAAAGCAGCUAGACUUCUUGAAGAAAAGAGGCUCCUGCCCCAAUGGAAGAAGUCACCGGACUAACCUCCUAGGCUUCAUCAUACAUUUGCUACUGAUUGACAAAAACUGGAUCCAAAAAAGAGUUAAAAAUGUAUCAUCAUUUUGAAGUCGUUCUCGUUCGCUCGCAAAGUCAAAUCCAGCUAUCCGGUCGCCGCCUCCUAUAGAUGAAGAUUCGCUACAUGCUAAAGAUCAAAGAGCAUGCUUCGUUUUUCACCUCCACUCAUCGUUUCAGCAGAAUGGGAUACUUCCGUAGGCCAAUGAUGUCAGCACACCGGCAUACCAGUAAUUUUUAUUUU